Molecule: ribosomal RNA, 254 nt
Filed under: uncultured bacterium
Lineage: Bacteria
Description: partial 16S ribosomal RNA
Rfam family: Bacterial small subunit ribosomal RNA
Source: RNAcentral
UACGUAGGGGGCAAGCGUUGUCCGGAUUCAUUGGGCGUAAAGAGCGUGUAGGCGGCCAGGUAGGUCGGUUGUGAAAACUGGAGGCUCAACCUUCAGAGGUCGACCGAAACCAUCUGGCUAGAGUCCGGGAGAGGAGAGUGGAAUUCCUGGUGUAGCGGUGAAAUGCGCAGAUAUCAGGAGGAACACCGAUGGCGAAGGCAGGUCUCUGGGCCACUACUGACGCUGAGAAGCGAAAGCAUGGGGGAGCGAACAGG